GGCAGACGGGUGAGUAACGCGUGGGAACCUACCUUUAGGUACGGAACAACAGUUGGAAACGACUGCUAAUACCGUAUGUGCCCUAUGGGGGAAAGAUUUAUCGCCUAAGGAUGGGCCCGCGUUGGAUUAGCUAGUUGGUGGGGUAAAGGCCUACCAAGGCGACGAUCCAUAGCUGGUCUGAGAGGAUGAUCAGCCACACUGGGACUGAGACACGGCCCAGACUCCUACGGGAGGCAGCAGUGGGGAAUAUUGGACAAUGGGCGCAAGCCUGAUCCAGCCAUGCCGCGUGAGUGAUGAAGGCCCUAGGGUUGUAAAGCUCUUUCAGCGAGGAGGAUAAUGACGUUACUCGCAGAAGAAGCCCCGGCUAACUUCGUGCCAGCAGCCGCGGUAAUACGAAGGGGGCUAGCGUUGUUCGGAAUCACUGGGCGUAAAGCGCACGUAGGCGGACUUUUAAGUCAGGGGUGAAAUCCCGGGGCUCAACCCCGGAACUGCCUUUGAUACUGGAAGUCUUGAGUCCGAGAGAGGUGAGUGGAACUCCGAGUGUAGAGGUGAAAUUCGUAGAUAUUCGGAAGAACACCAGUGGCGAAGGCGGCUCACUGGC
RNAcentral lists this ribosomal RNA (601 nucleotides) under Roseibium aggregatum. RNAcentral describes it as "bacterial SSU rRNA". It matches the Rfam family "Bacterial small subunit ribosomal RNA", at positions 97 to 733 of the family's 1533-position model. The record is from RNAcentral. Lineage: Bacteria; Pseudomonadati; Pseudomonadota; Alphaproteobacteria; Hyphomicrobiales; Stappiaceae.